AGAGUUUGAUCAUGGCUCAGAUUGAACGCUGGCGGCAGGCCUAACACAUGCAAGUCGAGCGGUAGCACAGAGAGCUUGCUCUCGGGUGACGAGCGGCGGACGGGUGAGUAAUGUCUGGGAAACUGCCUGAUGGAGGGGGAUAACUACUGGAAACGGUAGCUAAUACCGCAUAACGUCGCAAGACCAAAGUGGGGGACCUUCGGGCCUCAUGCCAUCAGAUGUGCCCAGAUGGGAUUAGCUAGUAGGUGGGGUAACGGCUCACCUAGGCGACGAUCCCUAGCUGGUCUGAGAGGAUGACCAGCCACACUGGAACUGAGACACGGUCCAGACUCCUACGGGAGGCAGCAGUGGGGAAUAUUGCACAAUGGGCGCAAGCCUGAUGCAGCCAUGCCGCGUGUGUGAAGAAGGCCUUCGGGUUGUAAAGCACUUUCAGCGGGGAGGAAGGCGAUAAGGUUAAUAACCUUGGCGAUUGACGUUACCCGCAGAAGAAGCACCGGCUAACUCCGUGCCAGCAGCCGCGGUAAUACGGAGGGUGCAAGCGUUAAUCGGAAUUACUGGGCGUAAAGCGCACGCAGGCGGUCUGUCAAGUCGGAUGUGAAAUCCCCGGGCUCAACCUGGGAACUGCAUUCGAAACUGGCAGGCUAGAGUCUUGUAGAGGGGGGUAGAAUUCCAGGUGUAGCGGUGAAAUGCGUAGAGAUCUGGAGGAAUACCGGUGGCGAAGGCGGCCCCCUGGACAAAGACUGACGCUCAGGUGCGAAAGCGUGGGGAGCAAACAGGAUUAGAUACCCUGGUAGUCCACGCCGUAAACGAUGUCGAUUUGGAGGUUGUGCCCUUGAGGCGUGGCUUCCGGAGCUAACGCGUUAAAUCGACCGCCUGGGGAGUACGGCCGCAAGGUUAAAACUCAAAUGAAUUGACGGGGGCCCGCACAAGCGGUGGAGCAUGUGGUUUAAUUCGAUGCAACGCGAAGAACCUUACCUGGUCUUGACAUCCACAGAACUUACCAGAGAUGCAUUGGUGCCUUCGGGAACUGUGAGACAGGUGCUGCAUGGCUGUCGUCAGCUCGUGUUGUGAAAUGUUGGGUUAAGUCCCGCAACGAGCGCAACCCUUAUCCUUUGUUGCCAGCGGUCCGGCCGGGAACUCAAAGGAGACUGCCAGUGAUAAACUGGAGGAAGGUGGGGAUGACGUCAAGUCAUCAUGGCCCUUACGACCAGGGCUACACACGUGCUACAAUGGCAUAUACAAAGAGAAGCGACCUCGCGAGAGCAAGCGGACCUCAUAAAGUAUGUCGUAGUCCGGAUUGGAGUCUGCAACUCGACUCCAUGAAGUCGGAAUCGCUAGUAAUCGUAGAUCAGAAUGCUACGGUGAAUACGUUCCCGGGCCUUGUACACACCGCCCGUCACACCAUGGGAGUGGGUUGCAAAAGAAGUAGGUAGCUUAACCUUCGGGAGGGCGCUUACCACUUUGUGAUUCAUGACUGGGGUGAAGUCGUAACAAGGUAACCGUAGGGGAACCUGCGGUUGGAUCACCU
Molecule: ribosomal RNA, 1528 nt
Filed under: Klebsiella pneumoniae
Lineage: Bacteria; Pseudomonadati; Pseudomonadota; Gammaproteobacteria; Enterobacterales; Enterobacteriaceae
Description: bacterial SSU rRNA
Rfam family: Bacterial small subunit ribosomal RNA
Source: RNAcentral